This 484-nucleotide ribosomal RNA is filed under the name uncultured bacterium. RNAcentral's name for it is "partial 16S ribosomal RNA". It matches the Rfam family "Bacterial small subunit ribosomal RNA", at positions 28 to 507 of the family's 1533-position model. The record is from RNAcentral.
AUUGAACGCUGGCGGCAUGCUUUACACAUGCAAGUCGAACGGCAGCGCGGGCUUCGGCCUGGCGGCGAGUGGCGCACGGGUGAGUAAUGCAUCGGAACGUGCCCAGUAGUGGGGGAUAGCCCGGCGAAAGCCGGAUUAAUACCGCAUACGACCUGAGGGUGAAAGCGGGGGGCCGAAAGGCCUCGCGCUAUUGGAGCGGCCGAUGUCGGAUUAGCUAGUUGGUGGGGUAAAGGCUUACCAAGGCGACGAUCCGUAGCUGGUCUGAGAGGACGACCAGCCACACUGGGACUGAGACACGGACCAGACUCCUACGGGAGGCAGCAGUGGGGAAUUUUGGACAAUGGGGGCAACCCUGAUCCAGCCAUGCCGCGUGCGGGAAGAAGGCCUUCGGGUUGUAAACCGCUUUUGUUCGGGAAGAAAUCCUCUGGGCUAAUACCCCGGGGGGAUGACGGUACCGGAAGAAUAAGCACCGGCUAACUACGUG